This 1836-nucleotide unclassified non-coding RNA is filed under the name Leishmania donovani. RNAcentral describes it as "gene:unknown". The record is from RNAcentral. Lineage: Eukaryota; Euglenozoa; Kinetoplastea; Trypanosomatida; Trypanosomatidae.
GACUGCCUCCGUGCCCACCCCCUCCACCACACCUCGCACCUCACGCUCAUGCCCACGCAAGUAAAUCUUUCAGAUCUGCUGGCUCCACUCCACAACCGCUUCCUAUUGUAUCGUAUGCCCACCGUAUCGCACGCCUGCUGACGGGGGACACCUCGGCGUAGUAUCAGAGUGCAGUACCUAACUCUGCGCGGAAGCUAAGGGCCUGCAGCCUGAUUCCAGUUAUUCGUUGUGGACUCUUGGUGCCGGCGAACAGGUCUGGGCUGGUGCUGUGCUGAAGAGACUGGCGGCCGUGAUCGUGCUUGGACCAGAUCAAUGAGAAUUCUGUCAGUGAUUCAAAAAAAAACCCCAUACGCGCGCUACUCGCCCGCCACGGGCGCCGGUGACUUCCGCUUCUCUGCGACUAAUGAGGCGCAGGGAUAUAGCGGAUAUGCGUGCCAAGCAGACAUGUGCAAAUGAGUCGACUCCAACGAUAUUGAUUAAGGACCCGGAUGCCGGUCUUCGACGCCAGCCCGACAUCGCCCAAAGCCGCGCUCACGCGACGAUAGGAGGCGAUGCUCGCCCAGCUGCGCAUGGGUGCCUUGACCGUACUUUGGAUUCCUGCAGCGGCGGCUGGGUGGCGGCGACAGCAUGGAGUGCUGAGGGCGUGCGGCCUACUAGCGCGCUAGCGCUGUGGUGCUUGCGCGCCCGCCAGAGCCUCCGCCCCCGCCUUUGGAAGGCGCGCGGCCUCGGGAGAAGGUGGAGUGCCCCCUGCUGCCUCACACUCACGGCAGCGUCCGGCCUGUCGCGGUGCGUGCGGGCAGGCCAACCAGCCACGCCUCCUCCCUGUGGCAUCGUCGGAAAGGGAGCGCGAGUGCAGCGAACCCCCUCCCCGGACAGCAACGUCGUGCUGAAGCAAAUCCCAAGGUCGGAAAGUGCGAGCACGCUGCAGCAUGCGCUGCCAGCCACAGCUGGCGUGCUGCGCCACAUCCAGUCACGGCAUGCAGAGGUCAGCCGAGCAGGAGUGAUGGGCGAAAGCGGCGCGAAGAGAUCCAUACCGAUCGACGCCGAGGCGCACGCGUGCGCAAGCAGGCGGCACCUCCUCCAUCCGACCGGGCCGGUCGAUGAGGCACGGAUGCCGGAAGCAGGACGAGAACACCCCCGAAUGGCACCAUCGAGCCCUCCAGGCUCCCAUGUGGAGAGCCGCCACGCCAUCCUAUGGGGUGCCGCGGCUCGAGGCAGCUGAGAGGGAGAAAAGCAUGGCAUACAGGCAGGUUGUGCCGGGUUUCAGAGGGCCAUGACCUGAGGCUGGCCCGCCCCCUCCUUGAACUCUCCCGGCAUGCGCCUCGGCCACGCCCUUAUUGUCCGCACGACGGGCGCCACCGCUCGCGCCCUCGAGCAGGAGCCCGGGCACGGACCGCGUGGAUCAAGGCAUGCAGCCCACGCGAGUCUCCGUGUGGCGUCGAUGGCGCAGCACGUGUGCGAAGAAGGGACGAAGGACGAAAAGAGCCCGCAAGGCGCAUGGCCCGAUCCGUCGGCAGGGCGGUUCGCCCUGGCUGGCCAGGGUUUCGCUGUAGCACAGCACACGUAGGUGAGCUGCAGUCUUAUGCGUAUCUUCACCGGCUUGCGCGUUGUAGAUUGAUAUGUGGGAGACUAAAAUCUCUUUCAUCAAGCCGCUCUCUACAGCGCUGCACAUCUUCCUCCGUUGAUGCUCUGCUUUGCAUCAUGUGCUGUCUGCAUCUGUGUCUGCUUCCUGAUCCCCUUUGGUACUUUUCUUCCGCUGCGUCUACUUCCAUCCUCUGCACUCGCGCAUGCGUGCGAAUGAAAAAAAAACGUGCACAUAUGACCGUUGUUGUUCAG